CCGGUGCCAGCCGCCGCGGUAAUACCGGCGCCACUGGUGGUAGCCGCGUUUAUUGGGCCUAAAGCAUCCGUAGCCGGACAACUAAGUUUUUAGUGAAAUCCAACAGCUUAACUGUUGGGCGUGCUAGAAAUACUGGUUGUCUUGAAACCGGGAGGAGUCAGGAGAAUUUCUGGGGGAGCGGUAAAAUGUUGUAAUCCCAGGAGGACUAUCUGUGGCGAAGGCGCCUGACGAGAACGGGUUUGACGGUGAGGGAUGAAAGCUAGGGGAGCAAACCGGAUUAGAUACCCGGGUAGUCCUAGCCGUAAACGCUGCUUGCUUGGUGUUGCAUAUCUUUCGCGGAUAUGCAGUACUGUAGUGAAGACGUUGAGCAAGCCGCCUGGGGAGUAUGGUCGCAAGGCUGAAACUUAAAG
Molecule: ribosomal RNA, 410 nt
Filed under: uncultured archaeon
Lineage: Archaea
Description: bacterial SSU rRNA
Rfam family: Archaeal small subunit ribosomal RNA
Source: RNAcentral